RNAcentral lists this ribosomal RNA (484 nucleotides) under uncultured bacterium. RNAcentral describes it as "partial 16S ribosomal RNA". It matches the Rfam family "Bacterial small subunit ribosomal RNA", at positions 30 to 507 of the family's 1533-position model. The record is from RNAcentral.
AUUGAACGCUGGCGGCAGGCCUAACACAUGCAAGUCGAGCGGAUGAAGGGAGCUUGCUCCUGGAUUCAGCGGCGGACGGGUGAGUAAUGCCUAGGAAUCUGCCUUGUAGUGGGGGAUAACGUCCGGAAACGGGCGCUAAUACCGCAUACGUCCUGAGGGAGAAAGUGGGGGAUCUUCGGACCUCACGCUAUCAGAUGAGCCUAGGUCGGAUUAGCUAGUUUGUGGGGUAAAGGCCUACCAAGGCGACGAUCCGUAACUGGUCUGAGAGGAUGAUCAGUCACACUGGAACUGAGACACGGUCCAGACUCCUACGGGAGGCAGCAGUGGGGAAUAUUGGACAAUGGGCGAAAGCCUGAUCCAGCAAUGCCGCGUGUGUGAAGAAGGUCUUCGGAUUGUAAAGCACUUUAAGUUGGGAGGAAGGGAAGUAAGUUAAUACCUUGCUGUUUUGACGUUACCAACAGAAUAAGCACCGGCUAACUUCGUG